UUCCUUCCUUCCUUCCUUCCUUCCUCCCUUCCUCCCUUCCUCCCUCCCUUCCUCCCUUCCUUCCUCCCUCUCUCCCUUCUUUCCUUCCUUCCUUCCUUCCUUCCUUCCUUCCUUCCUUCCUUCCUUCCAUUUAAGGUGAACAAGUUUCAUGUAUGGCAUAUAUACAGAUUUAGGAACAUAGCGAUACUCCUCACCUCUUGCCCAUGCUCCUACUCUUCCUCCUCCUUCCUCUCUUAUUCCCUCUCUUAGUUUUUACAAUGAUCUACUUUCAGUUUACUUUAUAUUCAUACAAUCAACACUACACUAAGUGAAGAGUGCAACACACAGUAAGAAAAAACACUGUUCCUCAACAGUAGAGACAGGCUAUAAACAAUCAUCUUUUCUUAAAAUGUCGAUUUCACUCUAAUAUAUUACAUUUUAGAUACUCUAUUGGUUACCACAGAUCAGUGAAAACAUAUGGUAUUUGUCUUUUGGGGACUGGAUUAUUUCACUAAGUAUAAUGGUUUCCAGUUGCAUUGUUUUGUUGCAAAAGACAGGGUUUCAUUCUUUUCUUAUGGUUGAUUAUAUAUCCAUCUUUCUUUAUAUCUAUCUAUACCACGAUUUCUUUAUCCAGUCAUCAGUUGAUGGACAUCUGGUUUGAUUCUGUACCUUAGCCAUUGUGAAUUGAGCUGCAAUAAACAUGGGGGGAAACUGAGGCUCGAGAUACAUGGGAAAAGCUUAACCCAAAGUCAUUUUUCUAAAACAAAUAACAUACUGAUGGCUAGUCAAAAGAAGUGAAGCUUAAGUGAUCCCUUUCAGUAUUAAACAUAUGCUUGUACUCUCUGCCUCUACUAUGGCAGUCAUGCUGGUUCUCUUCAUUGUGGGGAGAAGGUUGUGGGGAAGGCCUAAAUGAAUGGAUCAAUGGGCAUGUAAGGAACAUUAGGUAGAGGAUAUUAAAAAGAAAGUAUCUCUCUGAUUGCUGGCUGUCUCAGGAAUCAAGUCCCUACAGGAAAAAGAAGGUUUAUCUGCUGUGAAUGAAAAAUGGGACCUGGAUCUUGGCUCUGUCUCAGGAGUGAGUCAUUAGGCCACCUUUUCCACUUCAUCUCACCAGAAUUCUAGAGUUUGCUGCUCAUGAAGGCUUUGCAUUUUCUGCCUCAUUUGUGACCUCCUUACCCCAUGAAAAUUUUGGUAGAAAAUGUGACUCUUGGCUGUGAUGCGUGUAUUGUCUCCAGAUAUUGGAAAGAGGGAAGUGUCUGAGAGGUGUGCAUUACUAGUAUUGUGGAAGAAAUGGGGUGAUAGAUGAUGCAAUCUUUUCCAUCUUGGAUUCUCUGAAACUUCCUGAUGGAUACAUUCCUCAAAUCCAUGAUGUUGUGAAUGCUGUCAUAGUGGAGACCAUUCAUUCAGGAUAUGUUUGGAGAGCAGUGUCUAUCAGCCCUGUGGCAACAGUGUAAAAACACAACCUGUUUAUUCUCUGUGCAUCCUUUCUUCCAUGGGUAGUACAGGGUCCUAUGCAAAUGUGUUUGGAAAAAAAAAUAAAUUAGUAAACCUUAGUAACAAUUUCUUAUACAGUUUUUCAAAUCCUGAAUAUGUUGGAUAAGUGAAUUGUAUGUUUUGAAAAUGUUCGUCAUUUUUCAU
Molecule: long non-coding RNA, 1614 nt
Organism: Oryctolagus cuniculus (rabbit)
Lineage: Eukaryota; Metazoa; Chordata; Mammalia; Lagomorpha; Leporidae
Source: RefSeq, a predicted model, not a curated record